UGCCUAAACUCUAUUUUUAGAGCAUGGCGCAAAAUCAUAAGACAUACCAAACCCGUCAUUCGGGGGCAUGUCUUAUGUUAUACGAGGAAACUUGUAUAGGGAUCGCAAGAUCCU
RNAcentral lists this small RNA (114 nucleotides) under unclassified sequences. RNAcentral's name for it is "LOOT RNA". It matches the Rfam family "LOOT RNA". From Rfam's summary of the family: Latescibacteria, OD1/Parcubacteria, OP11, TM7. Lineage (Microgenomates, aka OP11) The record is from Rfam by way of RNAcentral.